GCGGAAUCUGAAGGAAGUCGGCGGCAAACCUCCGGUCUGAGGAACACGAACCUCAUAUGAGGCUCGCGAUAGUUGGGUGAGUCUGCUAUGCAAGACGAAGCCCUUGUUGCCGAAGGCUAUCGAGAGUAAAUGAGGCAGAUAGGUGGAGGGAAAGACAGCGUC
Tumebacillus flagellatus is the source of this 162-nucleotide non-coding RNA. The record is from Rfam. NCBI's taxonomy places the organism in Bacteria, Bacillati, Bacillota, Bacilli, Caryophanales, Alicyclobacillaceae.